Molecule: transfer RNA, 77 nt
Filed under: Actinomadura alba
Lineage: Bacteria; Bacillati; Actinomycetota; Actinomycetes; Streptosporangiales; Thermomonosporaceae
Description: tRNA-Thr
Rfam family: tRNA
About the family: Transfer RNA (tRNA) molecules are approximately 80 nucleotides in length. Their secondary structure includes four short double-helical elements and three loops (D, anti-codon, and T loops).
Source: RNAcentral
GCCGGUGUAGCUCAGCAGGCCAGAGCAGCCGCCUUGUAAGCGGCAGGUCGUCGGUUCGAACCCGUCCACCGGCUCCA